CCUGCACCUGCCGGCGACCGGCGCACGGGUGAGUAACACGUAUGGAACCUGCCCGCCACAGGGGGAUAACCCGGGGAAACCCGGCCUAAUACCCCAUGCCGCCCGGACCGGGCAUCCGGUCCGGGCGAAAGGAGGAAUCCGGUGGCGGCUGGGCAUGCGGCGCAUUAGCUUGACGGCGGGGUAACGGCCCACCGUGGCGACGAUGCGUAGGGGUUCUGAGAGGAAGGUCCCCCACACUGGUACUGAGACACGGACCAGACUCCUACGGGAGGCAGCAG
RNAcentral lists this ribosomal RNA (278 nucleotides) under uncultured bacterium. Its description in RNAcentral is "partial 16S ribosomal RNA". It matches the Rfam family "Bacterial small subunit ribosomal RNA", at positions 74 to 354 of the family's 1533-position model. The record is from RNAcentral.